Molecule: ribosomal RNA, 492 nt
Filed under: uncultured bacterium
Lineage: Bacteria
Description: partial 16S ribosomal RNA
Rfam family: Bacterial small subunit ribosomal RNA
Source: RNAcentral
AGUGAACGCUGGCGGUAGGCCUAACACAUGCAAGUCGAACGGCAGACCAGUACGAGCUUGCUCUUACGGGUGGCGAGUGGCGGACGGGUGAGGAAUACAUCGGAAUCUACUAUUCCGUGGGGGAUAACGUAGGGACACUUACGAUAAUACCGCAUACGACCUUAGGGUGAAAGCAGGGGAUCUUCGGAUCUGGAGCGUUCGAAUGAGACGAUGUCGGAUUAGCUAGUUGGCGGGGUAAAGGCCCAUCAAGGCGUAGAACCGUAGCUGGUCUGAGAGGAUGGACAGCCACACUGUAACUGAGACACGGUCCACACUCCUACGGUAGGCAGCAGUGGGGAAUAUUGGGCGAUGCGCGCGAGCCUGAUCCAGCCAUACUGCGUGGGUGAAGAUGGCCUUCGGGUUGUAGAGCCAUGUUGUUGGUAAAGAAAAGCAGCAGGUUAAGACCCCGCUGUUCUGACGGUACCCAAAGAAUAAGCACCGGCUAACUUCGUG